Long non-coding RNA from Zootoca vivipara (common lizard), 1092 nucleotides. RefSeq lists it as uncharacterized. Lineage: Eukaryota; Metazoa; Chordata; Lepidosauria; Squamata; Lacertidae. The record is from RefSeq and is a predicted model, not a curated record.
UAUACUAAGCUAGAGGAGGCAGAACUUUAUCUGUGACUCGUCUGCCUUUCCUAGCUGCUUCUUUUUUUAACGUUUCAGGGUUAGAAGUCGAGGCCUUGUGGCUUCUCUCUCAGUUGCCGGUGCGCUGCAUCUGUGUCACAUGCCUCACAAAAUCUGAAACAUGUUCUUUCCUGUCUGCCGAGCGCGCACCGGCGCUCUGUGUGCGCCAGGGCCAACGCUGGCCGACGUUUCCUCUCGAACUGCAACCGCUGAGAGUUGAAAACAUGGUCGUCGGUCGUUCCCCCACGCCUACUUAUGUUUACGCAGAAGUAAGCCCCAUUGAUUUCAGUGGAACUUGCUCCCCAGUCCGUUUGUUUAGGAUUGCAGCCCAAGUGUGUGACUUUCCAGGACGGAACACAAUCCCUGUUAGAAACUUGGCGGCGGCAGCCGGAGAGGUUUUUCGCCUGCGAGCACACAUUUCGAUCACUUUGGGGCCAGCAGAAAGCCACUCAUUGCUCCGCCACCCAUUGGCCCAGAAAAACAGCACCGACUUCCAGCCCCGGCCCCCCUCUGCUGCCGCGCCAGGCUCGACCAUACACACCAAGAGACUCAGGAUGGGUUUUUUGGGCUACAGCCGCCGCACGACCAUAUUAAAAGGUUCCUCAGAAAAUUAAACGGAUUCCUGGACGUCGCGAUGAACAGGCUGGCGCGCUCGUCGGCGUUGAAAUAGCUAAUCGCUCGGGAUGUCGCAGCUCCUAGCAUACUUACCUAGGUAUAUAAACAGCUUAUGCAGGCAACAUAAGAGUGUUUUAAGGACGCUGGAGCGAAAAUUAAGAGCGACGGCUUGGUAUAAUCACCUCUGUAGUCAGUGACAAUAAAAUUCCAUUCAUUUCCAGCCGGCUGGUUUGUGCUCCCCUCCCCCCACGCCCUUCUCUUAUAGCUGAAAACCUAGACACGUCUAAUCCGAAUCAGAUAAAUCCGGGACCCCAAACUUUCCUGACAAGCAUGUUUAGGGUUGCAGCCCUGUCGGAUUACCAGUGGAAGCUGCUGCUCUCGCGAGUAGGGAUCCGAUACCUCUAUAGCGCAAUCCUGUGGCACGUUUCCUCAGAAGCA